CCAUAGACUACAGCUGCUACUUUGCUGACGAGAGCGGGACGCGUGAGUAAAGCUUGUGUAUCUGCCCCCACGAGGGGGAGAUACGCGGGAAACGACGGGUAAAACCGCGUACACCCUACAGGGGAAAGAAGGGGACCUCUGGGCCUUGUGCGAUUGUGUGAGACCCCGUGAGAUUAUAUGUGUGUGGAGGGAAAGGGUCACCACGGGGACAAUCUCUAUCUGUGCUGAGAGGAUGACCACCCACACUGUGACUGAGACACGCGCCCCACUCCUACGCGAGGCAGCAGAGGGGAAUAUUGCGCAAUGGGGGAAACCCUGAUGCACCCAUGCCGCGUGUGUGAAAAAAGCCUUCUCGUUGUAAAGCACUUUCUGUGGGGAGAAAAGGGGAGAGGGGAAUACCCCCUUUCUGUGACGUUACCCCCAGAAAAAACACCGCGUAUAUCCGCGCCACCAGCCGCGCGAAUACAGAGAGUGCGAGCGUUAAUCGCAAUGAGUGUGCGUAUAGCGCACGCACGCGGGCUGUUAAGCCACAUGUGAGAGCCCCGCGCUCUCACUGUGAACUGUGUUUGUGACUGUGAGGCUAUAGACUUGGAGAGAGGGGUAGAAUUUCCGGUGUAUAGCGGAAAUGCGUAGAGAUCGCAAGGAAUACCACUGUGGAAAGCGGGCCCCUGUGCACAGACUGAGACUCAGAUGCGAAAGAGUGUGGAGCACACAGAAUUAUAUACACUGUGAGACCACACUGUAAACGAUGUGACUUGGAGACUGUGUCUCUUGAGAGCGCGUUCCGCAGCUAUCGCGUGAUAUUGACCGCCUGUGGAGUACGCGCGCACGGUAUAACUCUCAUGAGAUGACGCGGGCCCGCACAAGAGCGGGAGCAUGUGUGUUAUUUCUAUGCACGCGAAAACUCUUCCUACACUUGUCAUAUAAGAAAUUUCAGA
Molecule: ribosomal RNA, 938 nt
Filed under: Bacillus sp. (in: firmicutes)
Lineage: Bacteria; Bacillati; Bacillota; Bacilli; Caryophanales; Bacillaceae
Description: bacterial SSU rRNA
Rfam family: Bacterial small subunit ribosomal RNA
Source: RNAcentral